Molecule: ribosomal RNA, 165 nt
Filed under: Cladophora sp. JGDN5
Lineage: Eukaryota; Viridiplantae; Chlorophyta; Ulvophyceae; Cladophorales; Cladophoraceae
Description: 5.8S ribosomal RNA
Rfam family: 5.8S ribosomal RNA (bases 1-127)
About the family: 5.8S ribosomal RNA (5.8S rRNA) is a component of the large subunit of the eukaryotic ribosome.
Source: RNAcentral
UGGAUUUCUUGGCUCCCGCAUCGAUGAAAAAAAAAGCGCGAUAGGUAGUGUGAAUUGCAGAAUUCCGUGAAUCAUCGAAUUUUUGAACGCACAGUCUGCGGACUUGAGCAUGUCUGCCUCAGCGUCGUUUUAAAUGGCUUGCCGUCCGUGACCCUUGCCACUCCU